Molecule: long non-coding RNA, 413 nt
Filed under: Carassius auratus (goldfish)
Lineage: Eukaryota; Metazoa; Chordata; Actinopteri; Cypriniformes; Cyprinidae
Description: lncRNA (ENSCARG00000028723.1)
Source: RNAcentral
AUGAAUGUGUGCAGUUGUUCUUUUUAUCUUUUUUUUCCUAGAAAGAAAACAAGUACAGAUCAUAUAUACUCAUCAGAUGAAGAGGCAGCAGAACCACCCAUUAAAAAAAGAAAAGCUGCAAACAAAACAAGUGUUCCACCUGCACCAAAACCUCCAGCCAUUCCAAAACUAAAAAAAAAAGGUCCUAUUGUGCAACCUCAGGUUUCACAGAGCAGAGCAGUAAACGCUCUCAGCAACUCAUGCGUCAAUCAGCAACAAAGGGACACGGAAGACCAACAACAGACCUGGUGUGAGAGUCUCCCCAGCUUCCAAGCUCCACUGCGUAUGUCUCAGCCAGACCAUGACGGAGACAGCUGGUGUGUUGCUCACCCUAACACACAAGAGCACACGUUUGCUGUCCUGAGACCCUCAGG